AUCCCCUCCGGACCCCCCGGGCGGUUUCCUAAACCGCAGGCCGCAGGUUCGAGCCCUGCCGGGGAUACCA
This 70-nucleotide transfer RNA is filed under the name Planctomycetota bacterium. Its description in RNAcentral is "tRNA-Arg". Lineage: Bacteria; Pseudomonadati; Planctomycetota. The record is from RNAcentral.